This 406-nucleotide ribosomal RNA is filed under the name uncultured bacterium. RNAcentral's name for it is "partial 16S ribosomal RNA". It matches the Rfam family "Bacterial small subunit ribosomal RNA", at positions 30 to 526 of the family's 1533-position model. The record is from RNAcentral.
AUUGAACGCUGGCGGCAGGCUUAAUACAUGCAAGUCGAGCGAGCGGCGGACGGGUGAGUAAUGUCUGGGAAACUGCCUGAUGGAGGGGGAUAACUACUGGAAACGGUAGCUAAUACCGCAUACCAUCAGAUGUGCCCAUAUGGGAUUAGCUAGUCGGUGGGGUAAUGGAUCACCUAGGCGACGCUCCCUAGCUGGUCUGAGAGGAUGACCAGCCACACUGGAACUGAGACACGGUCCAGACUCCGACGGGAGGCAGCAGUGGGGAAGAUUGGGCAAUGGGCGAAAGCCUGACGCAGCCAUGCCGCGUGUGUGAAGAAGGCCUUCGGGUUGUAAAGCACUGUCAGCGGGGAGGCGUUACUCGCAGAAGAAGCACCGGCUAACUCCGUGCCAGCAGCCGCGGUAAUUC